GCGAUAGGUCACUACUUCUGGAAUGGGUAAUGACUCAAACCUAUAUGGCCCCUGGAUUGGACUGCGGCCGAUCAGGCUGUUGGUGAGGUAAUGGCCCACCAAACCUGUAACCGGUACGGGCUCUGAGAGGAGGAGCCCGGAGAUGGGCACUGAGACAAGGGCCCAGGCCCUAUGGGGCGCAGCAGGCGCGAAACCUCUGCAAUAGGCGAAAGCCUGACAGGGUUACUCUGAGUGAUCUCCGUUAAGGAGAUCUUUUGGCACCUCUAAAAAUGGUGCAGAAUAAGGGGUGGACAAGUCUGGUGUCAGCCGCCGCGGUAAUACCAGCACCCCGAGUGGUCGGGACGUUUAUUGGGCCUAAAGCAUCCGUAGCCGGUUCUACAAGUCUUCCGUUAAAUCCAGCUGCUUAACAGAUGGGCUGCGGAAGAUACUAUGGAGCUAGGAGGCGGGAGAGGCAAGCGGUACUCGAUGGGUAGGGGUAAAAUCCGUUGAUCCAUUGAAGACCACCAGUGGCGAAGGCGGCUUGCCAGAACGCGCUCGACGGUGAGGGAUGAAAGCUGGGGGAGCAAACCGGAUUAGAUACCCGGGUAGUCCCAGCUGUAAACGAUGCAGACUCGGUGAUGAGUUGGCUACAUGCCAUCUCAGUGCCGCAGGGAAGCCGUUAAGUUUGCCGCC
RNAcentral lists this ribosomal RNA (672 nucleotides) under uncultured archaeon. Its description in RNAcentral is "bacterial SSU rRNA". It matches the Rfam family "Archaeal small subunit ribosomal RNA", at positions 153 to 828 of the family's 1478-position model. The record is from RNAcentral.